GUGCGGGAGGUACCACGCCGAGAUGAAUAGUUAACCAUUAUGCAAAGCCAGAGAAGGCUGACCACGAAACAUCCAUGGAAUUCUAAUAUUCCCACUGACGAAGCACCUACAUAUUUUCAAAGGAAGCUUCCAACGAAAAUUCAAACUGCUUUCUUAGUAUGAAAGGGAUGCUGAGCAGCAACAGAAAGCUUUUUCAAGGAGCCAGGCACUGGGUUUUGCAACUCCCUCUCAAGUCUUGAAGAGCUUUCCACUACCGUUACUAAAUCCUGACAUCCUUGUGAGGCUGUGUAGCGGGGAGGUGGCAGGGGCUCGAGGAGAAGCACGUUGUAACGGUUUCACCAUCCGCAUGCAAGCUGGCAAGACAGCAAAAAGG
Molecule: long non-coding RNA, 373 nt
Organism: Oxyura jamaicensis (ruddy duck)
Lineage: Eukaryota; Metazoa; Chordata; Aves; Anseriformes; Anatidae
Exons: 2
Source: RefSeq, a predicted model, not a curated record